AACGAACGCUGGCGGCAGGCUUAACACAUGCAAGUCGAACGGGCACCUUCGGGUGUCAGUGGCAGACGGGUGAGUAACGCGUGGGAACGUACCUUUCGGUUCGGAAUAACCCAGGGAAACUUGGACUAAUACCGGAUACGCCGGAAACGGGAAAGAUUCAUCGCCGAAAGAUCGGCCCGCGUCGGAUUAGCUAGUUGGUGAGGUAACGGCCCACCAAGGCGACGAUCCGUAGCUGGUCUGAGAGGAUGANCAGCCACACUGGGACUGAGACACGGCCCAGACUCCUACGGGAGGCAGCAGUGGGGAAUAUCGGACAAUGGGCGAAAGCCUGAUCCAGCCAUGCCGCGUGAGUGAAGAAGGCCUUAGGGUUGUAAAGCUCUUUCGUU
RNAcentral lists this ribosomal RNA (386 nucleotides) under uncultured bacterium. Its description in RNAcentral is "bacterial SSU rRNA". It matches the Rfam family "Bacterial small subunit ribosomal RNA", at positions 29 to 440 of the family's 1533-position model. The record is from RNAcentral.